This 73-nucleotide transfer RNA is filed under the name Stegodyphus mimosarum. It matches the Rfam family "tRNA". From Rfam's summary of the family: Transfer RNA (tRNA) molecules are approximately 80 nucleotides in length. Their secondary structure includes four short double-helical elements and three loops (D, anti-codon, and T loops). Lineage: Eukaryota; Metazoa; Arthropoda; Arachnida; Araneae; Eresidae. The record is from Rfam by way of RNAcentral.
GCCUUCGUGGUGUAGUGGUCAGCACGCUCGACGCUCAACCGAAAGGUCCGUGGUUUGAUUCCCGGCGAAGGCA